Molecule: microRNA precursor, 94 nt
Filed under: Ovis aries (sheep)
Lineage: Eukaryota; Metazoa; Chordata; Mammalia; Artiodactyla; Bovidae
Description: miRNA (ENSOARG00000022672.1)
Source: RNAcentral
CUGGGAAUCUUAUUAAACUGUGGAUUCUGUUUCAGUAGGUAUGGGACAGAAUCUGAGAUUUUGCAUUUCUAACAAGCUCCUAGGUGGUGCCACU